This 425-nucleotide ribosomal RNA is filed under the name uncultured bacterium. RNAcentral describes it as "partial 16S ribosomal RNA". It matches the Rfam family "Bacterial small subunit ribosomal RNA", at positions 354 to 796 of the family's 1533-position model. The record is from RNAcentral.
GUGGGGAAUAUUGGACAAUGGGCGCAAGCCUGAUCCAGCCAUGCCGCGUGAGUGAUGAAGGCCUUCGGGUUGUAAAGCUCUUUAGCCGAUGAUUAUAAUGACUGUAGUCGGAAAAUAAGCCCCGGCUAACUUCGUGCCAGCAGCCGCGGUAAUACGAAGGGGGCGAGCGUUAUUCGGAAUCCCUGGGCGUAAAGCGUGCGUAGGCGGCUUUGCAAGUUGGGAGUGAAAGCCCAGGGCUCAACCCUGGAAUUGCUCUCAAAACUGCAAGGCUCGAAUUCGGGAGAGGAUAGCGGAAUUGUCAGUGUAGCAGUGAAAUGCGUAGAUAUUGACAGGAACACCAGUGGCGUAAGCGGCUAUCUGGACCGAUAUUGACGCUGAGGCACGAAAGCGUGGGGAUCAAACAGGAUUAGAUACCCUAGUAGUCC